Gadus macrocephalus (Pacific cod) is the source of this 1884-nucleotide long non-coding RNA. RefSeq lists it as uncharacterized. The transcript has 5 exons. NCBI's taxonomy places the organism in Eukaryota, Metazoa, Chordata, Actinopteri, Gadiformes, Gadidae. The record is from RefSeq and is a predicted model, not a curated record.
CCAGGCGGUUGGCCCGGUGGAGGUCCAGGCGGUUGGCCCGGUGGAGGUCCUGGAGGAGACGGUCCCGGCUGGGGGGUCCGGCGGUGGAGGUCCGAAGGUGGCUCGUGUUCAGACCAACCAGCUCCUCAUCCAUGGAAGGAUUGAAGGAGUCACUGGGGAUGAAGAUCACUGCUCAGGGGCUGACGACCACUCAUCUUUCCGGAGAAGCGUCCUCAUGGUGCAGGCGGUCAAACCUCCACCUCUUUGAAGAGACCAAGCAGCUUGAUGACUGACUGGUUCUUUAUACUCAAGACCUCGUCCCGGAGCAGAGGACGGACCUAAGGCCCGCAGCGCAGCCGACUAGAGUCUCCAUGUGGAACCGGUUCAAUUAAGUUGACCUCUCCUUCAGGCGACUUAAAGGGAGACCAGAUGUGCGGCAGCUGGGUGUCAUGGUGCAGAGACCCAACGCUGUACUGAACUACACCAGUGUGUCCUACUCCCAUAAACCCUGAGGAUCCCUGGAUGGCUACACCAGCACAUUAAUCCACACCCAACAUCAAUGGAGAGAAAGUAAUUAUUUUCUCCAUUUUAUGUUGCACCACAUUUUGGGGGAAGAAUGUUUGAAUCAAUCUUUGUCAUUUAUUUCUGUACUCCAUAUCUGUAAUCCCAGCUGUUGUAUUUUAACACGGUAGCUGGGAACCCUCUUUAUAGGGAGCGACUAGAGGGACGAGGCUGGAAGCAAACCUGAUCCUGGAUCUUAACCUUCUUUCUAAACCUAAUGCCGCAAUUUAACCGCAAAUAAAGUGAAGCCUAAAGUAACUUGACUCUCUUACCUAAACUUGCUUGCCUAAACUCGCUUGUCUAAACUCGCUUGCAUAAAACCUAAACUCGCUUGCAUAAAACCUGAACUUGCGUGGCUAAACUCGCGUCGCUUGCCUAAUACCUGAACUUGCUUGCCUAAACUCGCUUGCCUAAUACCUGAACUCACUUGCCUAAACUCGCUUGCCUAAACUCGCUUGCCUAAACUCGCUUGCCUAAACUCGCUUGCCUAAACUCGCUUGCCUAAUGCCUAAACUCGCUUGCCUAAAACCUAAACUCGCUUGCAUAAAACCUAAACUCGCUUGCAUAAAACCUAAACUCGCUUGCCUGUACUCGCUUGGCUAAACUCGCUUGCCUAAUACCUGAAGUCGCUUGCCUGAAGUCGCAUGCCUAAUACCUGAAGUCGCUUGCCUAAAACCUAAACUUGCUUGUCCAAACAUGUUACACAAAGUUAACCAUCCAUAAUCUUUAACCCAAACCAGACUUGUCCCUGGGUCGUUCCACUUUAAUUUAGAAGUUUCUUCUUUUACCUCAUCUGCGUUUUGAGUUUCAUUCUUUGAGGGCUUGAAGUGCUUUGGAGGAUAUUUGAACCUUUGUUUGCCGCAUCAAUAAACAUGCUUUAUCUUUACCCAUUUUGUUUUGGAUUGCAUUUCUAUGUGUAAUCCGGCCAAAUGUUCAGUGUCCUUGCAUGUAAUGUCUAUGGUCUGACGAUAAUCUGACCUCUUCAUGAAGCAGAAUGUGUGUGAAUGUUGUCCCGUGAGCUCCAGGCUCUCUGUGGGCCUGUCAACGUCUCUUUAGCAAAAGGUUGGAGAGUGAAAUUCAUUUUUGGGCCAUUUUCAUGUGUUCCUGAGUAUUUCAGACCUGUGGUGUUUCACAUGAGACCUUAAUGGGAACUUUUCUUUUUCUGCCUGCAUACGUAAUGCCUACAUUAGUAGGGUGAUCACUGUUGAUCCCAAUAUUGAUCAUUAACCACCUCAUUCUUUGGGAUUACAAAUCAUGUAAUUUAUGAGCAUAUUUGCAAAUGCCUCCAAAUAUCAGAUUGUGUAAAAACGAAUGAAAUGUAACCUUGAUUUAAAGAAAAUAAAA